RNAcentral lists this ribosomal RNA (447 nucleotides) under uncultured bacterium. RNAcentral's name for it is "partial 16S ribosomal RNA". It matches the Rfam family "Bacterial small subunit ribosomal RNA", at positions 29 to 523 of the family's 1533-position model. The record is from RNAcentral.
AACGAACGCUGGCGGCAGGCUUAACACAUGCAAGUCGAACGCCCCGCAAGGGGAGUGGCAGACGGGUGAGUAACGCGUGGGAAUCUACCCAACCCUACGGAACAACUCCGGGAAACUGGAGCUAAUACCGUAUACGCCCUACGGGGGAAAGAUUUAUCGGGGAUGGAUGAGCCCGCGUUGGAUUAGCUAGUUGGUGGGGUAAAGGCCUACCAAGGCGACGAUCCAUAGCUGGUCUGAGAGGAUGAUCAGCCACAUUGGGACUGAGACACGGCCCAAACUCCUACGGGAGCCAGCAGUGGGGAAUAUUGGACAAUGGGCGCAAGCCUGAUCCAGCCAUGCCGCGUGAGUGAUGAAGGUCUUAGGAUUGUAAAGCUCUUUCACCGGUGAAGAUAAUGACGGUAACCGGAGAAGAAGCCCCGGCUAACUUCGUGCCAGCCGCCGCAGUAA